RNAcentral lists this Y RNA (102 nucleotides) under Microcebus murinus (gray mouse lemur). RNAcentral describes it as "Y RNA (ENSMICG00000047665.1)". It matches the Rfam family "Y RNA". From Rfam's summary of the family: Y RNAs are components of the Ro ribonucleoprotein particle (Ro RNP), in association with Ro60 and La proteins. The record is from Rfam by way of RNAcentral. Lineage: Eukaryota; Metazoa; Chordata; Mammalia; Primates; Cheirogaleidae.
UGUUGGUCCGAGUGCAGUGGUGUUUACAGCUAAUUGAUCACAACCAAUUACAGAUUCCUUUGUUCCUUCUCCAUUCCCACUGCUUCACAUGACCAGUGUUAA